This 461-nucleotide ribosomal RNA is filed under the name uncultured bacterium. RNAcentral describes it as "partial 16S ribosomal RNA". It matches the Rfam family "Bacterial small subunit ribosomal RNA", at positions 338 to 795 of the family's 1533-position model. The record is from RNAcentral.
CCUACGGGGUGCAGCAGUGAGGAAUAUUGGUCAAUGGGCUUACGCCUGAACCAGCCAAGUCGCGUGAGGGAAGACUGCCCUAUGGGUUGUAAACCUCUUUUGUCAGGGAGCAACGCCGGCUACGUGUAGCCGGACUGAGAGUACCUGAAGAAAAAGCAUCGGCUAACUCCGUGCCAGCAGCCGCGGUAAUACGGAGGAUGCGAGCGUUAUCCGGAUUUACUGGGUGUAAAGGGCGUGUAGGCGGGGAAGCAAGUCAGAUGUGAAAACCACGGGCUCAACCUGUGGCCUGCAUUUGAAACUGUUUUUCUUGAGUACUGGAGAGGCAGACGGAAUUCCUAGUGUAGCGGUGAAAUGCGUAGAUAUUAGGAGGAACACCAGUGGCGAAGGCGGCCUACUGGGCUUUAACUGACGCUGAGGCACGAAAGCGUGGGUAGCAAACAGGAUUAGAUACCCUGGUAGUC